RNAcentral lists this ribosomal RNA (1468 nucleotides) under Staphylococcus aureus. RNAcentral describes it as "partial 23S ribosomal RNA". It matches the Rfam family "Bacterial large subunit ribosomal RNA", at positions 1 to 1469 of the family's 2925-position model. The record is from RNAcentral. Lineage: Bacteria; Bacillati; Bacillota; Bacilli; Caryophanales; Staphylococcaceae.
GAUUAAGUUAUUAAGGGCGCACGGUGGAUGCCUUGGCACUAGAAGCCGAUGAAGGACGUUACUAACGACGAUAUGCUUUGGGGAGCUGUAAGUAAGCUUUGAUCCAGAGAUUUCCGAAUGGGGAAACCCAGCAUGAGUUAUGUCAUGUUAUCGAUAUGUGAAUACAUAGCAUAUCAGAAGGCACACCCGGAGAACUGAAACAUCUUAGUACCCGGAGGAAGAGAAAGAAAAUUCGAUUCCCUUAGUAGCGGCGAGCGAAACGGGAAGAGCCCAAACCAACAAGCUUGCUUGUUGGGGUUGUAGGACACUCUAUACGGAGUUACAAAGGACGACAUUAGACGAAUCAUCUGGAAAGAUGAAUCAAAGAAGGUAAUAAUCCUGUAGUCGAAAAUGUUGUCUCUCUUGAGUGGAUCCUGAGUACGACGGAGCACGUGAAAUUCCGUCGGAAUCUGGGAGGACCAUCUCCUAAGGCUAAAUACUCUCUAGUGACCGAUAGUGAACCAGUACCGUGAGGGAAAGGUGAAAAGCACCCCGGAAGGGGAGUGAAAUAGAACCUGAAACCGUGUGCUUACAAGUAGUCAGAGCCCGUUAAUGGGUGAUGGCGUGCCUUUUGUAGAAUGAACCGGCGAGUUACGAUUUGAUGCAAGGUUAAGCAGUAAAUGUGGAGCCGUAGCGAAAGCGAGUCUGAAUAGGGCGUUUAGUAUUUGGUCGUAGACCCGAAACCAGGUGAUCUACCCUUGGUCAGGUUGAAGUUCAGGUAACACUGAAUGGAGGACCGAACCGACUUACGUUGAAAAGUGAGCGGAUGAACUGAGGGUAGCGGAGAAAUUCCAAUCGAACCUGGAGAUAGCUGGUUCUCUCCGAAAUAGCUUUAGGGCUAGCCUCAAGUGAUGAUUAUUGGAGGUAGAGCACUGUUUGGACGAGGGGCCCCUCUCGGGUUACCGAAUUCAGACAAACUCCGAAUGCCAAUUAAUUUAACUUGGGAGUCAGAACAUGGGUGAUAAGGUCCGUGUUCGAAAGGGAAACAGCCCAGACCACCAGCUAAGGUCCCAAAAUAUAUGUUAAGUGGAAAAGGAUGUGGCGUUGCCCAGACAACUAGGAUGUUGGCUUAGAAGCAGCCAUCAUUUAAAGAGUGCGUAAUAGCUCACUAGUCGAGUGACACUGCGCCGAAAAUGUACCGGGGCUAAACAUAUUACCGAAGCUGUGGAUUGUCCUUUGGACAAUGGUAGGAGAGCGUUCUAAGGGCGUUGAAGCAUGAUCGUAAGGACAUGUGGAGCGCUUAGAAGUGAGAAUGCCGGUGUGAGUAGCGAAAGACGGGUGAGAAUCCCGUCCACCGAUUGACUAAGGUUUCCAGAGGAAGGCUCGUCCGCUCUGGGUUAGUCGGGUCCUAAGCUGAGGCCGACAGGCGUAGGCGAUGGAUAACAGGUUGAUAUUCCUGUACCACCUAUAAUCGUUUUAAUCGAUGGGG